Molecule: unclassified non-coding RNA, 521 nt
Filed under: Hevea brasiliensis (rubber tree)
Lineage: Eukaryota; Viridiplantae; Streptophyta; Magnoliopsida; Malpighiales; Euphorbiaceae
Source: RNAcentral
CAUCCUUGGUUGAUUUUGCCCUCUCAUCUUCACCACUCUCUCCUUGUUUAAUUGCAACACCAUCUGGCUUUGUUGCUUCCAUGACAAUUUGUUGGUCCUCAGCAACUGCACCAUCCUCUGUAGCCUCAGCACUAAUUGCAAUGCCACCAGCAUUCCCAUUAACAGAUUCACCAUUCAAAUUAUUUCCCUCUGCAACCACCACAUCAGAAAGAUUAUCUCCUUGCAUAAUCAAGUUCUGCGCAGUAUGCAACCCCUCCACCACAGAAGGUACAUCAGUAGAUAUGCUAACAUCUGUAUCCAUAGGUGCAUGCUCAUUCUCUGAAUCGGCAUUUAUACCAUGUUUCAGACUGGCAUGAAAGUCAUCUUGAACAGCAUUUGUUUGCUGCUCUGGUAUUUCAUUAGAUGAAUUGACUAGCAUAGAACUUCCAAGGUUAUCUGAAAACAUAGGUUCAGAAGUUUCUGAGUUUUGUAUGGCAGCUUGUUUUGCUGCACUCUCAGCCAACUCAAGUGCACGAUUCUUU